CCCUCAGAUGUUCUGGGCCGCACGCGCGCUACACUGAUGCAUUCAACGAGUCUAAAACCUGGUCUGAGAGGGCUGGGUAAUCUUUUGAAAGUGCAUCGUGAUUGGGAUAGAUGAUUGCAAUUCUUCAUCUUCAACGAGGAAUGCCUAGUAAACGCAAGUCAUCAGCUUGCAUUGAUUACGUCCCUGCCCUUUGUACACACCGCCCGUCGCUCCUACCGAUUGAACGAUCCGAUGAAAACUGUGGAUUGAGAGUCUGAGUGGGUUCGCCUACCUCAACUUUCGAGAAGCGGUUUAAAUCUUAUCGUUUAGAGGAAGGAGAAGUCGUAACA
This 329-nucleotide ribosomal RNA is filed under the name uncultured eukaryote. Its description in RNAcentral is "partial 18S ribosomal RNA". It matches the Rfam family "Eukaryotic small subunit ribosomal RNA", at positions 1470 to 1796 of the family's 1831-position model. The record is from RNAcentral.